AUCCUUUCGGUUCAUAAAGCGUGAUGACUGGGUGUUUGUGCCAUUGCAUGCAGGACAUGUGCAAUCCACUAAACCUUGUUACGACAUGGGCACAUUACCCAUCUGACA
Small nucleolar RNA from Rattus norvegicus (Norway rat), 108 nucleotides. Ensembl annotates it as small nucleolar RNA U13. The record is from Ensembl. NCBI's taxonomy places the organism in Eukaryota, Metazoa, Chordata, Mammalia, Rodentia, Muridae.